RNAcentral lists this ribosomal RNA (1457 nucleotides) under metagenome. Its description in RNAcentral is "bacterial LSU rRNA". It matches the Rfam family "Bacterial large subunit ribosomal RNA", at positions 1098 to 2569 of the family's 2925-position model. The record is from RNAcentral.
AGGUUGGCUCAGAAGCAGCCAUCCUUUAAAGAGUGCGUAACAGCUCACUAGUCGAGUGACCCUGCGCCGAAAAUGUACCGGGGCUAAGCCUGAUACCGAAACUGCGGAUUGUAGGAAACUAUAGUGGUAGGGGAGCGUUGUAUACGAGCAGAAGCCGUACCGUGAGGAGCGGUGGAUUGUAUAGAAGUGAGAAUGCCGGUGUGAGUAGCGAGAUGUAGGUGAGAAUCCUACACACCGAAAGCCCAAGGAUUCCAGGGGAAGGUUCGUCCGCCCUGGGUAAGUCGGGACCUAACGCGAGGCCGAAAGGCGUAGUGGAUGGAAAGCAGGCGAAAGAUUCCUGCACCCGUAUAUGGAGCGAAGGAGUGACGGAGACGGAUAGUGUGACCCUCUUAAUGGAUUGAGGGCGAAGCGAAGCGGCUGGUUACCAGGCAAAUCCGGUAACCAAAAGGCUAGAGCGUGACAGGUAAGCGAAAUCUUAGGAAAGUAGCGAAGCACAUGAUGACGGCUUCCAGGAAAAGCUUCUGGCAAUGCAUAUGCGGCCCGUACCAAAACCGACACAGGUGGGCAGGGAGAGAAUCCCGAGGUGAGCGAGAGAACUGUUGCCAAGGAACUCGGCAAAAUGACUCCGUAAGUUAGCGAGAAGGAGUGCUUAAGCAAUUAAGCCGCAGUGAAGAGGCCCAAGCGACUGUUUAACUAAAACACAGCUCUCUGCGAAGUCGCAAGACGAAGUAUAGGGGGUGACACCUGCCCGGUGCUGGAAGGUUAAGAGGAUCUGUUAAGAGCGAUCUGAAGCAGUGAUCCGAAGCCCCAGUGAACGGCGGCCGUAACUAUAACGGUCCUAAGGUAGCGAAAUUCCUUGUCAGGUAAGUUCUGACCCGCACGAAAGGUGUAACGAUUUGGGCGCUGUCUCGGCAGCAGACUCGGUGAAAUCUUAGUACCUGUGAAAAUGCAGGUUACCCGCAACUAGACGGAAAGACCCCAUGGAGCUUUACUGCAGCCUGAUAUUGAAUUCUGGUCAUACAUGUACAGGAUAGGUGGGAGACAAAGAGACGUGCACGCCAGUGUACGAGGAGUCGACGUUGGGAUACCACUCUUGUGUGACCGGGGUUCUAACCUGGUAUCGAGAACAGGUACGGGGAGAGUGUCAGGUGGGCAGUUUGACUGGGGCGGUCGCCUCCCAAAGAGUAACGGAGGCGCCCAAAGGUACGCUCAGAUUGGAUGGAAACCAAUCGUCGAGUGCAAUUGCAGAAGCGUGCUUGACUGUGAGACAAACAAGUCGAACAGGGACGAAAGUCGGGAAUAGUGAUCCGGCGGUGCCGAAUGGAAGGGCCGUCGCUCAACGGAUAAAAGCUACCCUGGGGAUAACAGGCUGAUCUCGCCCAAGAGUUCACAUCGACGGCGAGGUUUGGCACCUCGAUGUCGGCUCAUCGCAUCCUGGGGCUGUAGCAGGUCCCAAG